GAAGUCUUAACAGCCUCUUGAAGUGCUUCAGAGCAAAGGCCCAGUGAGGUCAGCUCAUGAAUAUUGCUUCAUUUUCCUGAGAGGCGCUGGCAGCGGCGGGUACCUCGUGUGCGGUGCCCGGCUCUCCGUGCAUGCAUUUCUCCAGCCGGGCAGCGGACAAAGUGGUGCUGUUCCCGACAGGAAAACCUGCGGAGACGCCGCGUCCCGGCGCCACGUGGGUUUGCCUCAGGGGAGAAGGUCGAGCUGCGGAGUUUUGUGAGGACAGAGAUUUCGGACCUGGUCUCAAACGGGGCUUGCGUUGUGCCAGUUAAAAUAUAUAUAAAUACAUGCAUAUAUAUAUCUAAAAUCAGCCAAUUUAGCUGUAGGCGGUAGCCGAUCUUGGAUUUUGGGGCAUGUAAGGGUAGGGGUUGUGUUCUGGCAGGUCGCGGUUGAGUCUGAUGUCUUAGUUGCCGCGAAAGUUCCCUUAAAGAUUCAGGUACAGCAUAGCGUUCCCGAUAAUUAUUUUGAAUCACAUUUCUUAUAUUUCAUACCUGUAUAGCUCCAAACAACGGUGGGGUGAGGAUUGUGUUUGUGGUGGCUAAUAGAAAUGCAAAGCAAAUCUUUUAUAAAGUGUUGGCAUGCAAGUUUUAUAGCUCUACACUCCCAUGCUUUCUUUUUACUAAUUAAUGCUUGGGAAGCGUCUGCCAGAUUGUGUCAUUUUGAGCAUUAAUUUCCAGAAUAUUGGUUUAAAUCAGGUUAUUAAUGACAGUGCAUUUGAGAGCAAAUGAUGUACUCCUCCUGCCAGUGAGAGCAGAGCAAACACAGCCUCAUUGUCUAGUAUGUUCCAGGGAGUAAACCAAUUGUCAGGGCACGGUAUAGUCUCUACGUUGAAUUUGCCCAGUCGUGCUUUAUUCUUUAUUCCCUGUUUUAGCAGGGAAUGUUAAGCCAUGUUCUAGGAGGGAAUGGACAGGCCAUGUUAGGAAUGCUACCAUUUCUGUUGUUACCCAUGUUUUCUCCCUAAGGAGAGCUGAAUAAAAGCUGUGUGAAAACAGUUUGUGGAUCACAGACAUUAUUUUCAGAAUAUAUUUGGGACAUUAGCAGUAUGAUAUGGCUUUUAACAGCCCUUUUUCAUAACCUGUCGUGAUCAUAAAAACUCUGGUUGUGUCAUUAUAGGGGCAAAUGGCUAAAUGAGCAUCCUUCAGAGAAUGACACAUAUAAUUUUGUUCUGGGUGAGGGCUUAUUCCUUGCUUCCUCUGUUUUGAAAAUCUGGAGUGAUUAUGUCUGAGUCAUAUAUAACCUAUUGAUCUGCAUAACUGGUAACAAACAUGAAUCGGUCUUAAAUCCUGACAGCACCUCUGGAUAACAAACUGUGGAAUAUGUAUGUUUAAAAGCUGAUUGCAGAAACCCUUUGCUUUAUGACCGUCGAUUCCCUAGUCACCUUGCCCCGGAAGAGUCGCUGUCGAAGCUGAAGGGAAAUCUGUAGUUGCUUCCACGUGUGCAGCCCUUUGUACAGUAGCUUUCCCCCACUCAGCUGUGGUAGACACUUGGAGAGGCCUUUUAGCAGGCAGACAGGUGCAUUAGCAACCCAGGCCUGGUGGUGAGGAUAAGGGAGAGGGGAAAUUUGAGUGUGGAAGAAAAUGUAUCCCUGCGGGGGAAGGUUCGGCAUCGGGGCUGGGGAAACGCCCCUAGGUGCGGGCGGAGUGGAAGCAGGUCUCAGCCUCAGCGGAGCCCUUCGGGCCCUUCCUUGGGCAGCUCCGGUUGGCUCUGGGCUGCGGCCUCGGUCG
This 1763-nucleotide long non-coding RNA is filed under the name Ficedula albicollis (Collared flycatcher). RNAcentral describes it as "lncRNA (ENSFALG00000019037.2)". Lineage: Eukaryota; Metazoa; Chordata; Aves; Passeriformes; Muscicapidae. The record is from RNAcentral.